Molecule: long non-coding RNA, 557 nt
Filed under: Mus spicilegus (steppe mouse)
Lineage: Eukaryota; Metazoa; Chordata; Mammalia; Rodentia; Muridae
Description: lncRNA (ENSMSIG00000009907.1)
Source: RNAcentral
CUCCACGCAUUCAGCAACAGCCUUCUCUCCCAGCCCCUCACAGGGCAGAUUAAGACCGAGGCAAGUGCGAGCUGAUUCGGAUCCCUUCUGGUUGCCCUCUGAGGUUGGGUGCACUGUGAGCAAGAUGUGCCAAGUCUGCAGAGAGUUUCCUGCCAGCCAAGCCUCCAGUGGGCCUGCCGGAGAGAGCCGCGAUGGAAACCAUUCUGCAGAGGAUAAACUGGCCUGAACUUUCCACAGCCAUGGAAGAUUCUAGAACAGUAUGCACGCUGCCCAUGAGUGUAGAAAUGCAAUUCAGAGCUGUCCGUGGAAUUCUGAAGACAUCAGUCACAGCGGGAAAGGAGUCCAGCCAGCCCCCGAGGUCUGAGGUUUGUAAAGCUCUUAUCCUCAACAGCUCAUCUGAACACGAAGUGGCCAGCCCGCUAGAGCUGGGGUUAGGAUUCAAAGACACCAAGAUGGCGCCUGCUGAUAAACUCACAUGACCUCUCUUAUGUUGUACCUGAAGAAUGAAAGGAAGCUCACAGAGGCUCCACGCAUGUCACAAAUGUCCCAUGGAGCAC